This 114-nucleotide small RNA is filed under the name Vibrio stylophorae. Lineage: Bacteria; Pseudomonadati; Pseudomonadota; Gammaproteobacteria; Vibrionales; Vibrionaceae. The record is from RNAcentral.
UAGUUCGUACCAUUACCACCACCAUUAUUACCGGCACCAUUAGUGUUGGGGUGGGCUGAUACUCGACGAAUAGACAAAUGAGCCCGUACCCCACAAGGUGCGGGCUUUUUUUAU